Molecule: long non-coding RNA, 343 nt
Organism: Gasterosteus aculeatus aculeatus (three-spined stickleback)
Lineage: Eukaryota; Metazoa; Chordata; Actinopteri; Perciformes; Gasterosteidae
Source: Ensembl
GACACGCCGGACCGCACGGGGGCAAGUGAUUUAACGCCUAAUUAACACGGAUAGCGCGAAAAGGACCCAAACACGGAGACCCAUCGUUCCGAGGAGGGGGAGUUAGCUGACCUUGGGUGAGACAAGAUUGGAUGGAACAGCCUUUGGGGAUCUUUGCUUUGGACCGAGCUUGAUUCAGUGACUUGAUGCCGUUUUUUGAGUUUCCUGUAAAAGGUGUCAUCUGUGGGAUAUUACAUGAUUACCUUGGAUCUGGUACAUCAAUAACAUUGGCUCGGAUAUUUCUCGGAGUUGAGCUCAAGCGGUUCCAGUUUCGGCUCUUAAGAGUUUAGAUUCUCUCCAAGAG